This 451-nucleotide ribosomal RNA is filed under the name uncultured bacterium. Its description in RNAcentral is "bacterial SSU rRNA". It matches the Rfam family "Bacterial small subunit ribosomal RNA", at positions 354 to 796 of the family's 1533-position model. The record is from RNAcentral.
GUGGGGAAUAUUGGACAAUGGGGGGAACCCUGAUCCAGUCAUGCCGCGUGUGUGAAGAAGGCCUUUUGGUUGUAAAGCACUUUAAGCGAGGAGGAGGCUACCGAGAUUAAUACUCUUGGAUAGUGGACGUUACUCGCAGAAUAAGCACCGGCUAACUCUGUGCCAGCAGCCGCGGUAAUACAGAGGGUGCAAGCGUUAAUCGGAUUUACUGGGCGUAAAGCGCGCGUAGGUGGCCAAUUAAGUCAAAUGUGAAAUCCCCGAGCUUAACUUGGGAAUUGCAUUCGAUACUGGUUGGCUAGAGUAUGGGAGAGGAUGGUAGAAUUCCAGGUGUAGCGGUGAAAUGCGUAGAGAUCUGGAGGAAUACCGAUGGCGAAGGCAGCCAUCUGGCCUAAUACUGACACUGAGGUGCGAAAGCAUGGGGAGCAAACAGGAUUAGAAACCCGGGUAGUCC